CUCUGAAAACAGGGGAUGAAUAGCUUAUGAAAGUACUCUGGAAAAUAACUUGGUUGCUAGGAAACUUGAUAGGUCUAAACAAUGACCUUUAAAACUAUAUAUAUGACCUAAAAAACAUGUAGGGACUAAUAAUAAAAAUAGAGAAGUCUUCUGGGGCAAAUUUCUAAUUCUUCAAACUUAAAAGCGUCAUGAACUUCUUUCGGCCGCAACUGGUGUCGAUCGACACGAAGAGUCUGUGGAUCGACACUAUCAACUGGAUCUGAAAGUGAAUUCGUCCUUUAGCUUCUUUUCUUCAGCUUUUGCUCCAAAAUGUCUUCUCAUCUUCAUUGUUGUCCUUCUCCAUAGAAUACCUGAAAAGACUCUAAAAAGACUCUAGAAAUAACAAAAAGACUCAAAACUCUAUAUUUAAAACAUAGUUUAAAAC
Molecule: small RNA, 424 nt
Filed under: Arabidopsis thaliana (thale cress)
Lineage: Eukaryota; Viridiplantae; Streptophyta; Magnoliopsida; Brassicales; Brassicaceae
Description: ATSL171540
Source: RNAcentral